CAGGGUAUAGCUCAGUGGUAGAGUGCAUGCCUAGUGUGCACAAGGUCCUAGGUUCAAUCCCCAGUACCGUAC
RNAcentral lists this transfer RNA (72 nucleotides) under Camelus bactrianus (Bactrian camel). It matches the Rfam family "tRNA". From Rfam's summary of the family: Transfer RNA (tRNA) molecules are approximately 80 nucleotides in length. Their secondary structure includes four short double-helical elements and three loops (D, anti-codon, and T loops). The record is from Rfam by way of RNAcentral. RNAcentral also lists the same sequence under 2 other names. Lineage: Eukaryota; Metazoa; Chordata; Mammalia; Artiodactyla; Camelidae.